Molecule: ribosomal RNA, 452 nt
Filed under: uncultured bacterium
Lineage: Bacteria
Description: partial 16S ribosomal RNA
Rfam family: Bacterial small subunit ribosomal RNA
Source: RNAcentral
GUCGAGAAUCUUCCCCAAUGGGCGAAAGCCUGAGGGAGCGACGCCGCGUGAGGGAUGAAGGCCCUUUGGGUUGUAAACCUCUGUUAGGGGGAAAGAAAAGCAGUGGAAGCAAUAUGUCCAUUGCCUGACGUUACCCCCAGAGAAAGCUCCGGCCAACUCCGUGCCAGCAGCCGCGGUAAUACGGGGGGAGCAAGCGUUGUCCGGAAUCAUUGGGCGUAAAGGGCGUGUAGGCGGCUUGGCAAGUCGAAUGUGAAAUCCAGCGGCUCAACCGUGGAACUGCGUUCGAAACUGCCUUGCUUGAGUGCGGGAGAGGUGUGCGGAAUUCCUGGUGUAGCGGUGGAAUGCGUAGAUAUCAGGAAGAACACCGGUGGCGAAGGCGGCACACUGGCCCAGCACUGACGCUGAGGCGCGAAAGCGUGGGGAGCGAACGGGAUUAGAAACCCUAGUAGUCC